GCAUUACACAGAUCCAUGCCCCAGUCGUGUUGCAGAUAUGGCUGUAGUGCCAUGUUUGUGUCAUUAGGUGGCAGAAAGGAAAAGGCUGUGUCUUUGC
Gallus gallus (chicken) is the source of this 97-nucleotide non-coding RNA. RefSeq annotates it as microRNA 3528. Lineage: Eukaryota; Metazoa; Chordata; Aves; Galliformes; Phasianidae. The record is from RefSeq and is marked provisional. The transcript has a single exon.